Molecule: unclassified non-coding RNA, 524 nt
Filed under: Hevea brasiliensis (rubber tree)
Lineage: Eukaryota; Viridiplantae; Streptophyta; Magnoliopsida; Malpighiales; Euphorbiaceae
Source: RNAcentral
GGAAAUGAUAUUCUUGAUUCAUAUACUUUAUAUACAAUAUGCACUGCCUAUAUAUGGUUAGUACUAGCAGAAAACUAAAAACAUUCCUGUAUAUCCAAAAUAAAAUAAGAUGUAUUAGUUAUUAUCGAUUAAGAUUAUGCAUCAUCAUCCCUUUGCUUGCGCAUCCGUGCUCCCCAAGACAUACUGUUACUGGAUUCCUUGUAUGUUCUUCGUCUCUUGAGCUCUGAUAGCUGAGACUGCCAACGGUUUUUCCACUCACCUCUCUCCUCCAUCGCCUCAUGUGAACGAGCAGAGAAACCAAAGUGAAGUCCUUUAGCCAUAUCUAUAUCAUACAAAGCUCUCAUUCCAGGAUCUGAUAACGUUUCAUAAGCUUCCUGAACCCUAAUAAACCUCUGUGUAUACUCUUCAACCCGAUCUGGAGGUGAAACAUCCGGGUGAUACUUCCUUACUAAUUGCUUGUACGCUUGCUUGAUUUCCAACAAAGAUCCAUUUUCCGGUAUACCCAGAAGAUCGUAAAAGCUCUU